CAAAAUGGGAACAUUGGUCUUACCAUUUGGGGUUGCCAUAGAAUUUCUCUCUUCGUUUUUUUUGUUGAUAAAGGGAUUUUCUUUCUCCCCAGUUACAUUAGCGAAACCAUAGCAAUCCUUACAUGGGAGACAGAAAACAGCAUGCCCGCGUGUGAUUCUUCUGCCUAUAGUAUGAUUACUUGUCACCAGAUCACAUAUCUUGCACUUUUUUUAACUCAAACUACACGCAUAUAUAUAAUUUGGAAAAUUCCAAAGAAACAAAACUUUCAAAAACAUCAACUCUAUUGCAUGAAAUCAUCAACAUCUCGGCAUAUUUACAAGAUACUCCUGAGCUUUGACUACGACAACGCGCCAUUAUUUUGCUGACUUACUCAAAAUAAACAACGGGGUACUACGAGCACAUAGCUGGUCAGUUUGGAACACACAGAGUUUCUUUUCCAGCUAGCUUCUGCACAAGUGAAAAAAAAAGGAUUGUCAGUAAAAAAAACAUCAAUGAGAUGUCAAUAGAACGAAAUUUCUAAUGGGAUUUUUAUCAAUCAAUGAGUAUAUGAAUAGAAGAAAAAUGAAGUAUGGCAAUUGCAGUAUGUGAGAAAAUACAAAAGAUAAAUACAUCAUUAAUCAUGCCGUGGACCAAUUUUGAACAUCCUACAAAAAUCGGACACAUCCAUGGGGAAAAACAUAGCUGUGUGAAGACAGCAAUUCAAUAUCUACAUACUCUUGCUGUCUAUAGAUAUAGCUCAUUUCCUUCUUUAUGUUAAGGUCAAGCAGUCAGUGUUAAAGAACAUAUCUAAAUUAAAUAAUUCCCAGUGUUUUUCUAUGUCAUAGCAAAGUCUUUUAGCUUUGACAUAAUUUGGUUUGUACCUUGGCUAAUAUACUGUUACCUCUUGAAGUGAAGUUCAGCAAAACUGGGGUAACUAGGUAUAAGAGCUCCAAGCAAGGAGCUGACUUUUUUUAAUUUACUUGGUUACUAACUUACUAAUGAAAUAUUUUUGCAGUUAACCACAUGACUCACUUUUGGUAUUAAGUCCGUAUAAUUGUAAAUGUAGUAAGUAAAUAACUUAUUCUAGUGUCUAAUGUAUGUGCUCAUUUUAGUUUUAAAUUUUCACAGUUUAGAGUUUCUAUAUGCAUUGAUAAAAUGACUGAUUUCAAAAUUUUGUAGACAGUUCGAUAAGCAGCAUAAGCGAAUAGAUAAGUAAUUCACUCAGAAAUUGAUUCUCCUCUACCCGGGUUCAGUAAUAAAUAAAGUAAUGUCUUGCAUAUAUGUUUUAUCUUGUUACCUCAAUUAAACACUUAGCGCAAUGAAUUCAUAUUUUUUAUUCAUAACGAACAACAGAAACUAUCCAGAUUUGUUCUUGAGCGGCAAACCUAGUUAGCUGUUUUUCACUUCCUUCAUUUCUUUAUGCAAGACAUCAUGCAUCACAAGAUUCAAGUUUGACCAACAAUUAGAUCAAUAAAAUGUGGGUUAUAUGACAAAGAGAUAAUACCAUUGGAAAAAGCUUUUCAGUACAAACCCAAUGAUAUCAUUUUCUUUGUCAAAUAAACAACAUUUUAUUAAUCUAAUUGUCAGCCAAACUUGAACCCUGACAUGCUAAAUAUCUCACAAAAAGAAAACCUACUGAGUGUUUUUCACUUGAAAACCUACUGCUUGUUAUACAUGGUGUAUCUCUGUGUUCUUAAGCAUUGGUAUAAUACUAACUGCACAAAGUAUCAUCUCCCAUCUUCAGAGUUAAUGACAAUCUGGAAAGAUGAGAGAUAAUAUUUUGUAAUGUUAGCCAUGCAUAAACUCAAAUGGGAGCCUUGGCACAGUGGUAAAGCUGCUACCUUGUGACCAUGAGUUCAAGUCCUGGAAACAGCCUCUUAAAGGAAUGUAGGGGAAAGGCUGCAUACAAUAGACCCAAAGUGGUCGGACCCUGCGCAAGCGGGAGCUACAUGCACCGGGCUGCCCUUUUUUAGCCAUGCAUAAACUCGUAAGGAAGAGAACAAAAAAAGUGAAGUGCUAGUGUGCACCUUUGUUGUUGUCCGAUAAUUAUUAUUUUUGCCUCAAAUACUUCCACAUAAUAAACUACUCCCUCCAUUCCAAAUUACUCGUCAUGGUUUUAGUUCAAAUUUGAACUAAAACCACGACGAGUAAUUUGGAACGGAGGGAGUAAAAUGUUAAACUAAAACCACGACAAGUAAUUUGGAACGGAGGGAGUAAAAUGUUAAACUAAAACCACAACAAGUAAUUUGGAACGGAGGGAGUAAAAUGUUAACUACUACCUGUCCUGUGCUAGACAAAGUUAUUAGAAUUGCAUCUCUGGCAAUAAGUCUCACCUAGAAUAAAAACAUCACACCUUAAUGAAUUAUUUUCUCAUUCACACAUUAUGCGAUAGUAUAUUAAUAACCACACAAAUUUGUCAUAGUAUGGAUACCUGUGAGAAUAACAGGAAAGCUAAGGUAUGCAGUGCACUAUGUACUAUGUUAGUCUCUUUCUAAAGAAUAGAAACAAGGUAUUUUUUUUCUCAGAUAGAUAGUACUUUGUGUACAUAUUGGUACACUAAUGCUCAAGACCAGAAAAAAAAAACCAUUGUACCCUCCAUCCAAAAUAAGUGUCUCAACUUUGUACUAGCUCUAGUACAAAUUUGUACUAAGCUCAAGACACUUAUUUUGGGACAGAGGGAGUACAUGAUUAACCAGAAUAUCUACUGAAAAUAAUAAACAUUCUAGACAAAAUAUUAACUAGGUACAUAACCAAGAGGUCAUUAAAUAAUGUAUCACAAUUGCUUUGACUAUACUAACCCCUCCAAACCUCACAGCACAACUCAAGAUUCAAUUACAGCACCUUCCAUUCGAAGCUUUCAGAUGCUCAAACUAACUGGAAGUUGAAAUGAUUUUUCAUUUAAUACUCAAAAUAAUUAAGUUCAAGAAACCGAGUUCAUGGUUGAACAUGAGGUACUGGCAGCUAAACAUUCCGAAGGUGCUUAUCAAACAACUCCUGAUGUGCAUCAUUCCAAUCAUGAACAACUCAAUAAAUUGGAAGCAAUAUUUACAAUUAAAUUAGCAGAUUUAAAUGCAAACAUCGUUAAUCAUGGUACGGACAAAUUUUGACCAUCCUACGCAGAUCCCACACAUCCAUGGGGAAAAACGUAGCUGUGUGAAGACAACAGUUCAAUAUCUACAUACUCUUGCUGUCUACAGAUAGGUUGCUUCCUUUUUUAUAUCAAGGUCAAGCAGUUAAUGUUAAAGAAAACAUACCUAAAUUAAAAUAAUUCCCAGUAUUUUUGCAUGUUAUAGCAAAGUCUUUUCGCUUUGGCAUAAUUUGUUUGGUUAAUUCCUUGGCUGAUAUAGUGUUACCUCUUGCAGUGUAGUUCAGAGAAACCAGGCAAACUAGGUAUGAGAGCUCCGAGCAAGGAGCUGACCUUUUGAAUUUACUUGGUUACUGACUUAUAGAAUGAAAUAUUUUUGCAGUUAACCACAUGACUAACUUUUGGUAUGAAGUCCGUGCAAUUGUAAAUGCAGCAUGUAAAUAACUUAUUCUAGUGUCUAAUUUAUGUGCUCUGCUCAUUUAGUGUUAAAUUUUCAUAGUUAUAGAGUUUCUACAUGUCCAUUGAUAAAAUGACUGAUUCAAAUAGUGUAGACAGUUAGUUCAAUAAGUAGCAUAGGUGAAUAGAUAAGAAAUAACUUCACUCAGAAAUUGAUUCUCCUCUACCUGGCUUCAAGUUAAUAAACGAAGUAAUGUCUUACAUAUAUGUUUUAUUAUCUUGUUACCUCAACUUAACAUUUAGAGCAAUGAAUUUAUAUUUUUUAUGUGUAAAGAAAAUGAAUUAAUAUUUCUUAUUAGUAAUGAAAAUAAGAAACUAUCAGGAUUUGUUUUUUAGCAGCAAACCUAGUUGGUUAUUUUCCACUCCUUUCUUUAUGCAAGAUGUCAUGCAUCACAAGAUUCAAGUUUGACCAACAAUUAGAUCAAUAAAACGUGGGUUAUAUGACAAAGAGAAAAUACCAUUGGAAAACGCUUAAGUGCGAACCCAAUGCUAUAAUUUUCUUUGUCAAGUAAAGAACAUUUCAUUAAUCUAAUUGUCAGCCAAACUUGAAUCAUGAAAUGCUAAAUAUCUCAGAAAAAGAAAACCGAGUGAGUGUUUUUCACUUGAUAUACAAAUGUAUUUCAUAGCCUGUUAUACCACGGUGUAUCGUUUUGUUCUUACGCAUUAGUAUCUUACUAACCACACAAAGUAUCAUCUCUCAUCUUCUGAUUUAAUGACAAUUGGAAAUAUGACAGAUAAUAUUUUGUGAUGUUAACCAUGCAUAAACUCUUAUUUUUUGUUUGUAAGGAACCAGAAAAAUAUCAGGAUUUGUUUGAAAAACAACAAAACUAGUUAGUUGUUUUUCACUCCCUCCAUUUCUUUAUGCGGACGCCAUGCAUCACAAGAUUUAAGUUUGACCAAAAACUAGAUCAAUAAAACAUGGUUUACAUGACAAAAAAGGUAAUAUCAUUCGAAAACGCUUUUGUAUGAACCCAAUGAUACCAUUUCUCUGUUGAAUAAACAACAUUUCAUUAAUCUAAUUGUCAGCCAAAAUUAAAUCCUGAAAUACUAGACGUCUUACAAAAUCAAAUAGAGAGUGCUUUUAACUCAAUUGUAUCUCAAAGCUUGUUAUACAAUGGUGUAUCUUUGUGUUCUUAAGCAUUAGUAUAAUAUACUACCUAGACAAAGUAUCAUUUCCCAUCUUCAGAUUUAAUGACAAUCUGGAAAGAUGAGAUAAUAUUUUGUGAUGUUAGCCAUGCAAAAACUCUAAGGAAGAGAACAAAAGGAAGUGAAGUGCUAGUGUGCACCUUUGUCGUUGUACUACAAUUGUUUUCUUGCCUCGCAUAGUUUCACAUAAUAAACUAAAAUGUUAACUACUACUCCCUCUGUCCGAAAAUAUUUGUCAUCAAAAAGAAUAAAAAGGGAUGUAUCUAGAUGUAUUUUAGCUCUAGAUGCAUCCCUUUUCAUCCAUUUUGAUGACAAGUAUUUUCGGACGGAGGGAGUACCUGUCCUGUGCUAGACAAUCUAGUGUAUCUGAUAGUUUUGUCAAGUUAUUAGAAUUCACUAUUAGUUGAAAUUGCUUCUCUGGCCAUAAGUCUCACCAACAAUAAAAACCUCAUGCCAUACUGAAUUAUUUUCACAUUACAUAUACUAAAAUGCUUUUCAUCCUGGCCUUGCCUAUGAGAUGCAUAUUUGCAAAUAUUUAGCUGUGAGAAUAACAGGAAAACUAAGGUACACAGUGCACUAUGUACUACGUUAGGUUUCUUUCUCAUUUGCUUCAGGAUGAUGAGAUAGAUAGUGCUUUGUGUAAUUAGUGAUACAUUAAUGCUCAAGAACAGAGAAAAACACCGUGGUAUAACAAAGCUACAUGAUAAACCAGAAUAUCUACUGAAAAUAAUAAAUGUUGUAGACAAAAUCCUAACUAGGUAUAUAACCAAGAGGCCACAUUAAACAAUCUAUCACUAUUGCUUUGACUAUACUCACACCUCCAAACCUCAUGAUUCAAUUACAGCACCUCCCUUUGAAGCUUUCAGAUGCUCAAAUUAAC
Molecule: long non-coding RNA, 5547 nt
Filed under: Triticum aestivum (bread wheat)
Lineage: Eukaryota; Viridiplantae; Streptophyta; Magnoliopsida; Poales; Poaceae
Description: long non-coding RNA (TAES_LNC016566)
Rfam family: MIR1120/MIR1122 microRNA precursor family (bases 4874-5008)
Source: RNAcentral